Molecule: long non-coding RNA, 8408 nt
Filed under: Sus scrofa (pig)
Lineage: Eukaryota; Metazoa; Chordata; Mammalia; Artiodactyla; Suidae
Description: lncRNA (ENSSSCG00035010135.1)
Source: RNAcentral
GACCCCUAGCCUGGGAACUUCCACAUGCUGUGGGGGAGGGGGGGUGGGAGUGGGCAGCAAAACAAACAGACAAAAAACCAAAAACGCCUUGAGUAAGAUUACCCACCUAGCAGGUUAAAAUUGGCCUAGAGCUUUACCAUUAGUCUCGUUAGAAAUUAGAAUGGCCCUGCAAGCAGGCAUGCGAUGUCUUCUGUGAAUUUGGGUAUGAGGCUGUGCCCUGUGUCAGGUUUGAUAGAAUCCUCUCAUAAUUAUGUUCCAUACUUAAAACUGUGCUCAAGACUUCUCUUUACCCAGAAACCCCAAGACUUAAAGUCUCAAAGAUCUGGAGGCACCCGCCAGGGGAAGAUGGCCACCCUGUCCACUGGGAGAUGUUGGCUGCAUAAAGGCAUUCCAGAAGGAAGAGGGCCAGAAGGGUUGGAAGGGACUCCUUUGUCGCUGCAAAUGGCAUUAUUUCAUUCUUUUUUAUGGGUAAGAGCUAGCUGCCAACGGAAGAGAGGCAAGAUGAAAACCUGCCUGCCAGGAGGGUCUCUUUCCUCCACACCCUGAGACCCCUCCUCAUUGCCCCAGAGAGCUAUGAAGUAGUUGUCACCUGGCCAGGGCGGUUCCUGGGUGGAGCCAAGCAGGGUGAGGUAAGAAGCACACCCCCCUCUCCCCUCCUCCCCCCCUCAGCCCUCCAUUUACCAAGAGGUCUCAGGAUUCCCAUGACAGACGGGAGAAAGGAGGUUGGGUCGGCAUCCUCAGGACCACCUGGCACAUUCUCUCAAGCAGUCAGUCCUUCUACCUUUUGGCUGGAGCUUCUCUUGCUCACCAGAUUUUUUUUUUAAGUGGGUAGAGAGAGGAUUUCUGGGUUUGAGUUUGACUGAGGGUUGACUGACCUGAUUAACUUCUCUGUCCAUUUUCGGACCCCCAGCCAAACUGAUUUGAUUGCUCUUGGGCCAGUUGCCUGCCCCUGUCUCAGUCACCUGUAGCGGGGGGCAGGGUGAGGAUAGGGAUGGGCAGUCGCGGGCAUGUGGCUGCCCAGCAGCCUGUUCCACAGCGACUGCCUUGCUUUUCUUUCCUUCUUCCCACAGAAAUGGCAGAGGAAGGACUCCAGCUCAGAUCUGCCCACUCCCUCCGGGCCCCGGGGCCACUCACGUCCUCCCACCCCUACUCUGCCGCCCUCCUUCCCCCGCUUCCUGCCCUAGAGAGAAGAGAGAGUGGCUCUGCGCACCUGUCCAAGAGUUCCCCGGGUGGGCCUGUUGUAGGGACUUCAAAGCAGAGAAAGAGGCACUGAAAAACAAAACAAAACACAGAGCACUCCUGGCGCAGAUGAUUAAUAUUCAUUUAGGUCUGCCUAAAUUUGUAAUUUGCAGGGCUUCUGGGAACAGUAUCGUUUACAAAACUGGAUGAAACCCAUCAUUAUGUCCCAGAAAGCAUGACUGCCUUGGAGAGCACGCAGUGUUUCUGACUCUGGUUAGGAUCGGAGAAGCCAGGCCUGCACCUCUCUCUGCAUCCCCUCAGGAGACCCCCAGCCCUCUCAUUAGAGCCCCGAGCAGGCUUCUGAGGGGUCACCUGGAGCCCCUCUGCUUGUCAUCUAAGCAUCUACUUCUAAGCGCCCCCUUUUGCUACGCCUCUCCCCAUGACAUGCUCACAGCCUCACAUUGAAGGGCACAAGGUUCGGCCUCCCUGGACAAAGCCUUUGAUGCACAACGUGACCUCCAUGCCCUGGAGCUGCUCUUUUCCCUCUGGCCUGGAAAAUGCUUCAGAGCAAGCACAGUGAAAGUGACCUGAUCAGAAGGCAGAAGACCAGGCCAAAUAGGCUCUAGCUUCUUCCUGGGUGUAUGUCUGAAGUAUUUAAUAACUUUAAAAAUGUCAUUCCUAACUGAGGUCCUAAAACUGUUUUUUAGUGGCUGAUCAUUUGUGACAUAACUGGCAACCUUGACACCUCACUACGUGGUGAAGAAAGAUGCCGUAAAGGAUUUCUGUGCCCCGAGGACACACAGGAUAGAACAGGGCUGCAUUAAGACAUUGGAGCCCUAACACUCACACACUAGGUACUGGCAACAAAAAGAGAAUAAAUACAGUGCCUGCCCUUGGGGAACUCCCCACUAAAAUACCUCCCACUCCCAUCUCCCACCAUUGAUUAUUUAAGUUAAGCAGUGCUACAUGCCAUAAAAACAAUGAACAAAAACAUACUUCUUAAAAAAACAAACACUGCUUAUUGGUCAUCAAAGGAUGACAUGACUGAGCUCAUCAAUGAGCACAAUUUGAGGCGGGACCAGAUUCAACGUCCUUAUCUAACGUCCUUAUCCACCCACCUACUUUCCUACUAUUUGUGACUUCCUAUCUUUGUAUCUUGGAGGCUUUUGGAUCAUUUAACUCUCCUCCUAAAGAGGCAGCCCCUGAAGCUCUUGUCAACCUACACCUUAGACACCAGUAACCUCAGCUGAGUUAGGCAGAAAUAAAUAUAGUCACAGGAGAGGAUGGCAGAUAAUGUGGGUUGCCUGACCCACACUCCAUUCCCAACCUAUCUCCUACUAGUGCCUUUUCCCAUGAGACGCAAUGCUAGAUGAUAACACAUAGAUGGAACUCUGCUGUGAAGUUCUUGAUCCUUUCUCCAUUCUUCCUGUUGUGAAUAAGAAUUUGAUGGUUGGUGCUUCAGCAGCCAUCUUGCAAUCAUGAGGUAAUGAUCAAAAGAACCUUCAAGACAUUAGCCCUGAUGGCGUGGAGCUACCUAAUUAUCACUAGCAGCCAUUAGCCACCUCCAGACUUCUUAAGUGAGAAGAAUAAAUCCCUAUUGCAGCCUCUAUCACAGGUUUACCCUUAUUUUCAGUUAAAUCUCUGUUGACAAGUAUACAUAGAUAUCUGGAAAGUAGGAGGGGAGCACUGCCAUAGCUAUGCUUGCCAAGGGACCGAAAAUAGAUAUUUCUGGAGUAGUUUCUAGACUCAGACCUGCUGGAUAAAGGGCAGGGUCCUGAGUGACUCAGAUCCCUACUUUUAGACAUGGUUUUCAGGACAGCUUGGAGUCCUGGGUUCCUGGAACAUAUCUGGUGCUCAAAGAAAUACUAUUAUGAACCAAUACUGGGACUCUCAGAGUCCGGCAUCUGAGAAGUGCCCUAUCUAACAACCAGUGUGUCACUUAAAUUUUUUCUUGAAUAUCUUGAAGUGGGCUCGUUAGGCCAGAGAAAAAAUUCUUAAAAACCUUCAUUUUUUCUCAUAACUACUUCCCUCGCACACUGUGGUUCAUUUUCUCAUGCCCAAAUCCCUCAAGAGUCUGGGGGAAGGUGAGCAGAGAGUUCUAUUUUGACCCUGUCCCCUUUGGUCCCUCUUUGUGGGCAGGCUGCCAGGCAGGGCCAGGCUUUCCCUGCAGUCAGGAGAAGACUGUGCCACUAGGAAAGCCAGAGUCCUCUCUCUCUCGGUAGUGGAGGAGAUGGACAGCCUGGAGCACACCUCCGCUAGUGAUGGACCAGGAAGGGCAGGAGGGGAGGAGGGAAUGGACUCUGCUCUUCCCCUGACACGUCCCAAGCCCUGGACAGGUCACUCCCCACUGUGAGCCUCCGCCUCCUUAUCCUUCAAACUCGGCAUUCAGCCUGGAUCAUAAUAAGGGCCCUUUCCGAUUUUUCAGCGUCUAGAUUUCUCUCAUGGGUGUGUUCCUCCUACCCAAUUUCUCUUGCUCUUAAGCUUCUCCAAGGAAUUCCCAAGUCAUACAAGGAAUGUAUCUCUGAGAAGCACAGGGAGUUACUCCUGGAAAUGAAGUGUUGAGAAGAAGGCAGAGCUGGGAUCCAACCUGGGUUGUUUGGUGCCAGUGUCUGGGCUGCUCCACGGAGUCCUGCCAGGUUGGUUGGCAUCUGAGGGAGGGAGGGGGAGUGGGGGGCAGCACCUGAAGUCACUUGUUCAUCCUGUCCACAGCUCUGGGGACAGGCUGGGAAAAGUGAAAGAGACGGUAUGGUGCUGGCUUUGAUAUUGGACACUGUGGAGCCAAGUCCUGACCCCUCCACUACUGUGUGACUUUAGGGCAAUUUCCUUGAUGUCUCUGUGCCUCGGCCAUCAUCUAUAAAAUGGGGACAUGCCCAUCGGGUGGCAUUCUGGAGGACUAUGACCUAGGAAAUUGUGCAGAGCAGUGUCGGGUGCUCAGUAAGCCUCUCUCGAGCUACAAAUGGAUGGAGUAUCAGCAGAUUCCAUUCUCCGUGUUGCCCCUGCAGUCUAGGUCUCAGUUCCCAGCAGUGUCCAGCUAGAGGAGGAAAGAAAGAUGCUGCUCCUUCCGCAGCCUCUGUGGACUGCAGGGCUGAGGAGCUGUCUAGUCAAUAUGGAUGAGGUGGGCUGUGCAUCUGACUGGCCAGAGAUACAAAAUCUCUCUUGAAAAACCAAAGAGCCACAUCUUAAAGGCUUACCACACAAGCCCAAAUCCCCAGAAGAGAAAAUGCGGGGUAAAAAUAACAUUUUAGAAAAGGCAUAGGGUGGUCCACAGGGGGCCUCGUUUAUAUAACCAGUUUGUCUUGAUUAUGCUAUGUAAGCCAACUCUUGGAAAUCCCCAGAAGGCAAUUUAGGAGGAAAAUAAUAGGAGGAGGACCCCGGUGGGGGUAGGGGUGGGGGGCCGGGAAGACGUGGCUGCUCUCCCUGCACAGCUGAGGCCAGCCUGCCUGGGGCAGGGUCUCUGCGUUCAUUCAUUCCUUCCAUACUCGUGAGGUGCUUCCCAGGUGCCAGACAGGGGACAAGACAGACUAGAUCUGACCCUCAUCGAGGUCACCUUCUUCCGAGAAGAAACACUGAAUGACAGAGACUAAUACCUUGUGAACAAAUGCUGGGGGUGAUGUGGGGAAAUGGGAGGGCGAGCUCCAACACUUAAAAUGGCCAGGGGAGGCUUUUUUCUUUUCCUUCCUUUUUUCUUUUUUUCUUCCUUUUUUCUUCCUUCCUUCCUUCCUUUUCUUUCUUUUUUUUUUUUUUUUUUUCUUUUUUUUUUUUUUUUUUCUUUUUUUUUUUUUUUUUUUUUGUCUUUUUAGGGCCACACCCACAGCAUAUCGAGGUUCCCAGACUAGGGGUCGAAUUGGAGCUGUGGUUACCAGCCCACGCCACAGCCAAAGCAACACGGGUUCUGAGUGGCAUCUGUGACCUACACCACAGCUCACAGUAAUGCCGGAUCCUUAACCCACUGAGUGAGGCCAGGGAUGUAACUUGCAUCCUCAUGGAUACUAGUUGGUUUGGUUUCCGCUGCACCACAGCCAGAACUCCCUAGGCCUGACUUUUCUGAGGGUGAUGCCUGGAGGAACCAGAGCUGAAAGAGAAGGAGGGCUUCUCAUGCAGAGGGAGUGGCAGGUGCCACGGCCCACAGGCAGGAAUGAGCCAGUGGCAUAGAUGUCCAUCAAGUAGAUGGGAAGAUAGAGCAGGGCAGGAGGAAUGGAAAGAGGGCCCUGGGUGGGCCUGGGAGCAGGGGCAGUGCCCCAGAUGAGGGGGCUGUGGGCAGGCUUGGGUCCCAAGAGCCUUGGAGACCAUCUAAGAUGUGAGCUAAGGCUAUGGGAGGCCUGCAGGUGGGGUGGGAACGGACCCGGAGUCAGUUACGGUCAAGGUCAGCAAACAUUUUUGGGUACCAGCUGUGGGCCGUGUUCUGAGCUAGAUGCAGGGAUGUGAACCUCUUCAGUUCUCCCAUGCCCUAACCAGGGGCUGUCUCAAGCCCUCACCUCUGCCCUCAAGCUUUUGGCAGAGGUGGACCCACUGGGGUUUACCAUCUGCAUCACAAGGAAGACAGAAGUGGGAGGCUGAGAUCCCCAGCUGCGUGUGCUCGCAUCCUGCCCUCUGGGACAGUGAGGGUGGCCGGAUUCUGUGCCUCCUCCCUCCUGCAUCCUGCACCCCUGCCUCUGCACACCACCCGCUCCCUCUGUUUUUAAUUAUCCUCAAAAUCUCUCACCUAGAAAAGCAAAGAAACAACCACAUCACCCCACUUUUGCCUCUGCUCUAUUUCCUUUUCCCUCACAGACAUAGAGGGGAAGAUUGACAAGGUCCCCUGUCCACUGUGUCUCCAUUUCCUCCCACCCCCCCCAUCCCCACCCCCCACAGGCCUAGCCACACACACAGCUCCGACAGCCCACAGCGUGAUGUGGCGGGCUCACCUCCGCGGCCUCUGACCUUCUGGAAAGCUCUUCCUGGCCAUGGCCCAGCCAUCUGCCCCCGCCUGCUUCCCCUCUGUAUUCAGCACUCCUCCUACUAUGCAUCACUCCUUCAUUGUCUCGGCCACCCAGACCUGCCACCCCUCAAAGCCUCCUAGUCCCUAGCUGCAGUCCUGGCACAUAGUAAGUGCUCACAAAAUAUUCAGUCAAUGGAUGGAUGGAAGGCACGCUCUCUGCUUUAGGGGUUUGCCUUUUAUUGAAAGAGCCAAGGGGUACACACAUCAUCACAGAGCAUAAAGUGUCAGAAGUGAUGCAGCUCUUACACAGGCGUGCUGAGGGCAGGGGCACAGUCCUGGGGCAGAGCUCACUCUGCUCGGGCAGUGACGUGUCCAGGCGGCUGCGAACUGCCUCUGGUGGCAGUGCACCAAAACGCUCCCCAGAACAGGCAGGCCGGCAGCUGGCUAAUGCUCUUCAGUACCCUGAAUGUAAAUGGAGCUGUGUCUGUGUGAAUAAAUAUCCUACAGUCCCUUGUAACACUGGAGAGAGGAGGCGGCCUGAUGGCACAGCCCAUCUGGCAGCUCCAGCCCCACCAAAGACACUUGUGCUGUCUUCUUCUCAGCACAGGUCCAGGACCCAUUCUGGUAAAAAAUAAAGUCCAUGUCACAAGUUGCGGAGUUGCUUUCAUGCCCCAGGACCCCCUGGCUUUGCCUUUCUCAGCCACAGGAUCUUAAUUCUCUGGGCCUCGAGUCCUUCACCUGCGGAAGGAGGCAUAGUAACAGCAUUUCCCUCAUGCACUUGCUGUGAGCGCUGAACGAAUUAAUCCGUGUAGUAUAGGUCUGCACUUACAACGUGCCGGCCCUCGGAAAGACCUGGAAAGCGCCAAGUGUGAGCUGUGACUGUUUUCACUACCUCUGUGAUUUGGGGCGUUUGUGAUCCUCUCUGUACAUGUGUGAACACUCUUAAUAGGAUUUGAAAAAUGCAGGCGGCUGGUUUCCUGGGGGCCAUGGAUUAGAGACGGGUACCCCUGGGAGGUGGGGUUGCCAGAUGUAGCAGAUAAAAAUGCAGGGUGCGUAGUUAAAUUUUAAUUUCAGAUAAGUGGCAACUCAUUUUUUAGUACGCAUAUGUCUCACGCAGUAUUUGCGAUAUAUUUACACUAAAAAAAGCAACACCGCCAGCAGAGUUUUCUCAGGACAUUUACCCUCUGACCCAGUGGCCCGUGGUGGUGGGAGAGGCAGGAGCGAGGGUAUAAAGCCUAAGGGCCCAUCCCGGAGGAGACUCCUGUGGCCUGAGGCCUUGGCCGUGACUUUCCCUGUGUUCCUCCCAGUGUCCCCUUAGCUGACUGAUGGGCUGAUUGACAGGGUGGGCCUGAGGCUUUGGGUGUGACUUGAGGGGCCCUGGAAGGCUCUAUCCCUCAGCAUUUCUAGCUCACAUUUCCCUGGAAGCCUGCAGGCUUCACCACCAGAGAACUGGUGCCCCCAGCUGUCUGUCCCCGGCGGUGGUGGGGGGGGCCUUCAAGGUGGAACGGCCCUGAGAGUGGCCCUGUGUACACACCCACCAAGCCACCAUCAGCCCCAGAUGGGCAGGAUCUGAGAGCCUUGCAGGGUGUGGCUAGCCAGGAGCUCUCAGGGGCUCUGGAUCACAGGUUUGAAUCUGGAUUCUUCCGCAUCCUGGAGGGAAAACUCAGCUCCACUCAUUGAAGUGUGUUUAUUCUCCAUUUUCCCACCACCCAUUACAGCCUGGCAGCCUCAGAAAUGGCUCCCAGUGACUCUUCUGCACACCUUGGUGCAGGACUAAAUGUGAUGAGCUUGUGUCACCUGCCACUGAGGGCACUGGGAGAGGGGAGAGACAGGGCUUCCCCCAGAAUGGCCUGUGGCGGAGGGAGGAGCUGGCCACUAUUUGGUGAAAGCGAAUUGGCAAGAUAGCAAGAGCUUAGAGGAGCUUUCUGGCUUCUCCCGGAUGCUUUCUGCGCCCUAAGAGGAACAUGGGCCUGGAGGGGUCAUGAGGGCAGGAAUAUGGGUGUCUCAGUGGUAAAUAGUAUAAACAGAUCAACAACAAUGGUUAUUGAGCUCUCUGUGUCUGGUGGUGGUCUCCACACCUUACAGGUAUUAAUCCACUGUCUCCUCACAGCGGCUUCUUCUGUAUCCCCACAAGCAAGCCGAGGGCGGAGGGUUUCGCUUAGGAAGCACCAGAAGGUCUACUUUGAAGCCUCAGCUUCAAAGAUCCUGGGUGAGAGGAGCGGCUUUUAUAGUGACUGAGGGUAAAUUUAUUCAAGUCGGAGGAGAUGUAGACUUGAACUUCACGCUAUUUCAGGGAAAAAAAAAAAAAAAA